GAUGAUCUUCAGAUUCAUUACAUGCUCUACUGGAAGCUGGAAGCCAGUCUCUUACUUUCAGAAUGAAGAUCAGAGGGAUGAUCGUCUGGAGGUGAUCACUGAUGAUGAAAAAGAGGCUGAGGAAGGAGAGGAUGGCAGAGAUGGCUUCCAUGGAUUAGGAUGGUAUGAGGUCGGGAUUGACUGGACAAUGAUGGAUGAAAACAGCCUGAGCAAUGG
Cervus elaphus (red deer) is the source of this 216-nucleotide long non-coding RNA. RefSeq lists it as uncharacterized. The transcript is spliced from 3 exons. The record is from RefSeq and is a predicted model, not a curated record. Lineage: Eukaryota; Metazoa; Chordata; Mammalia; Artiodactyla; Cervidae.